CACGUACUGUGCGAACGUUAUUCGGAAUCACUGGGCUUAAAGGGUGCGUAGGCGGCAAUCCAAGUCAGAUGUGAAAUGCCUGAGCUUAACUGAGGCACUGCGUUUGAAACUGGACUGCUAGAGUAUUUCAGGGGUGUGCGGAACUGCCAGUGGAGCGGUGAAAUGUGUUGAUAUUGGCAGGAACACCGGAGGCGAAAGCGGCACACUGGGGAAUAACUGACGCUGAGGCACGAAAGCCAGGGGAGCGAACGGG
This 253-nucleotide ribosomal RNA is filed under the name uncultured prokaryote. Its description in RNAcentral is "partial 16S ribosomal RNA". It matches the Rfam family "Bacterial small subunit ribosomal RNA", at positions 524 to 776 of the family's 1533-position model. The record is from RNAcentral.